AACGAACGCUAGCGGCAUGCUUAACACAUGCAAGUCGAACGGUAGAGGAAGCUUGCUUCCUUGAGAGUGGCAGACGGGUGAGUAACACGUGGGAACGUACCUUUCGGUCUGGGAUAACUUUUGGAAACGAAAGCUAAUACCGGAUGGUCCCUAAGGGGUAAAGGUUUACUGCCGAGAGAGCGGCCCGCGUAAGAUUAGGUAGUUGGUUGGGUAAUGGCUGACCAAGCCUGUGAUCUUUAGCUGGUUUGAGAGGAUGAUCAGCCACACUGGGACUGAGACACGGCCCAGACUCCUACGGGAGGCAGCAGUGGGGAAUAUUGGACAAUGGGGGCAACCCUGAUCCAGCAAUGCCGCGUGAGUGAUGAAGGCCUUCGGGUUGUAAAGCUCUUUUGUAAGGGAAGAUAAUGACGGUACCUUACGAAUAAGCCCCGGCUAACUUCGUG
This 443-nucleotide ribosomal RNA is filed under the name uncultured organism. RNAcentral describes it as "bacterial SSU rRNA". It matches the Rfam family "Bacterial small subunit ribosomal RNA", at positions 29 to 507 of the family's 1533-position model. The record is from RNAcentral.